CCUACGGGAGGCUGCAGUCGAGAAUCAUUCACAAUGGGGGAAACCCUGAUGGUGCGACGCCGCGUGGGGGAAUGAAGGUCUUCGGAUUGUAAACCCCUGUUAUGUGGGAGCAAAUUAAAAAGAUAGUACCACAAGAGGAAGAGACGGCUAACUCUGUGCCAGCAGCCGCGGUAAUACAGAGGUCUCAAGCGUUGUUCGGAAUCACUGGGCGUAAAGCGUGCGUAGGCUGUUUCGUAAGUCGGGUGUGAAAGGUGCGGGCUCAACCCGCGGACGGCACAUGAUACUGCGAGACUAGAGUAAUGGAGGGGGAACCGGAAUUCUCGGUGUAGCAGUGAAAUGCGUAGAUAUCGAGAGGAACACUCGUGGCGAAGGCGGGUUCCUGGACAUUAACUGACGCUGAGGCACGAAGGCCAGGGGAGCGAAAGGGAUUAGAUACCCGGGUAAUC
RNAcentral lists this ribosomal RNA (446 nucleotides) under uncultured bacterium. RNAcentral describes it as "partial 16S ribosomal RNA". It matches the Rfam family "Bacterial small subunit ribosomal RNA", at positions 338 to 795 of the family's 1533-position model. The record is from RNAcentral.